GAAACCUUUACACUGCACGCACGUGCGAUAAGGGGACUCCGAGUGCGAGGGCAUAUCGUCCUCGCUUUCGUGUACCGUAGGGUGGUACACCAACAAGGGCUGGGCAAGACCGGUGCCAGCCGCCGCGGUAAUACCGGCAGCCCGAGUGAUGGCCGAUCUUAUUGGGCCUAAAGCGUCCGUAGCUGGCUGCGCAAGUCCGUCGGGAAAUCCACUCGCCCAACGAGUGGGCGUCCGACGGAAACUGCACAGCUUGGGACCGGAAGGCUCGAAGGGUACGUUCGGGGUAGGAGUGAAAUCCCAUAAUCCCGCACGGACCACCGAUGGCGAAAGCACUUCGAGAAAACGGAUCCGACAGUGAGGGACGAAAGCCAGGGUCUCCAACCGGAUUAGAUACCCGGGUAGUCCUGGCCGUAAACAAUGUUCGCUAGGUAUGACACAGACUACGCGUCUCUGUUGUGCCGUAGGGAAGCCGAGAAGCGAACCGCCUGGAA
This 491-nucleotide ribosomal RNA is filed under the name uncultured haloarchaeon. RNAcentral's name for it is "bacterial SSU rRNA". It matches the Rfam family "Archaeal small subunit ribosomal RNA", at positions 343 to 833 of the family's 1478-position model. The record is from RNAcentral. Lineage: Archaea; Methanobacteriati; Methanobacteriota; Halobacteria; Halobacteriales; Halobacteriaceae.